UACAGAGGGUGCGAGCGUUAAUCGGAAUUACUGGGCGUAAAGCGUGCGUAGACGGUAGCGUAAGUCAGAUGUGAAAGCCCCGGGCUCAACCUGGGAACUGCAUUUGAGACUGCUCUGCUCGGGUGCGGAAGAGGGAAGCGGAAUUUCCGGUGUAGCGGUGAAAUGCGUAGAUAUCGGAAGGAACACCAGUGGCGAGAGCGGCUUCCUGGUCCGACACCGACGUUCAGGCACGAAAGCGUGGGGAGCAAACAGG
RNAcentral lists this ribosomal RNA (253 nucleotides) under uncultured bacterium. RNAcentral describes it as "partial 16S ribosomal RNA". It matches the Rfam family "Bacterial small subunit ribosomal RNA", at positions 524 to 776 of the family's 1533-position model. The record is from RNAcentral.